Small nuclear RNA from Stegostoma tigrinum, 107 nucleotides. Lineage: Eukaryota; Metazoa; Chordata; Chondrichthyes; Orectolobiformes; Stegostomatidae. The record is from RefSeq and is a predicted model, not a curated record.
GUGCUCGCUUCAGCAGCACAUAUGCUAAAAUUGGGAUGAUACAGAGAACGUUACCAUGGCCUCUGUGCAAGGAUGAUACACAAAUUUGUGAAGUGUUCAUUUUUUUU